This is an RNA transcript of Musa acuminata AAA Group (dessert banana), 4221 nucleotides long. RefSeq lists it as uncharacterized. The transcript is spliced from 4 exons. NCBI's taxonomy places the organism in Eukaryota, Viridiplantae, Streptophyta, Magnoliopsida, Zingiberales, Musaceae. The record is from RefSeq and is a predicted model, not a curated record.
UAAAUUGACGAGCCAAAUAUCACUCCUCAUCCUUCCGAUGUAAAUCCACUCUCCGACACCCUCGAAGUCGGUAAUCGGUCUCAGUUAUGGCGAUGGAAAACGAUCGACGCACAGCAGGAGUGGAGGAAGACGAGAGCGACGAAGCCCUAGAAUUCCUUCUAGAAGCUUCUAAAACCCCCGGGGGACGCGCCCACCUCGCCUCCACCGGAGCCCUCGCCGCGGCGCUCCGCCGCGUUUCCUCCGACACCUCGUCCGCCCUCCUCCCCUCCCUCCGCCUCGUCAGGAACCUCUGCGCCGGGGAUGCCGUCCACCAGGACGCCUUCGUCGAACUCGGCGGUCCCGAUCGAAUCGCCUCCGUCCUGUUGAGCACGCCGCCGGCGUCGCCGGACGUCGCCCGUGUCGCGCUGCAGGCGAUUGGGAACCUCGCCUGUGGUGGAGAGGCACAACGGUCCGCCGUGUGGGCCCGCUUCUUCCCGGCCUUGUUCCUCGCAGCGGCUCGGUACCGGGACCCGGCGGUUUGCGAUCCCCUUUGCAUGGUUUUGGAUACGUGCUGUUCAUCCGAGGGGGGGCAUCGGAGGUUGGCGGAGCUUUGCGAGACCAAGACCGGACUGCCAAUUAUUCUGGAGAUCGUCACCACAGCUUGCCGAGCUGGUCAUCAAGAGGAGUGGUUGGAUUGGCUCCUUUGCAAAGUUUGCAUUGAAGAGGCAUACCUUUCACGUCUUUUUCAAGGAUUAGCCUCACCAAGUACAGAUAACUCCAUUGAUGCUCAGUGCAGAUAUUCCUUCUUCACUAGAGAGCAGGCAUUCCUUCUUGGAAUGCUAUCAGAAUACUUGAGUAAUCGACCUAAAGAUGUUUCCAUGAUUUCCAGUCCUUUUGCACUUGAAGUUCUGAAAGUUCUAGAUAUAGCUUCUGCAAUUGUUGAUUUUUCAUCUCGAGGAAGUUCUGAUGUACCCACUGGCUUCCCUGCAAUUGAUGUUCUAGGCUAUUCUCUUACAAUUUUGAGGCAUAUUUGUGCUUGGGAAAAUGAUAUUGCUCAUGCUACAGAAGCCCCUGUCGACUUGUUGCUAUCUGCAGGCCUUCUACAACUUAUUUUACGUUUACUUGGUGAACUUGAGCCACCAGCAAUUAUAAGAAAAUCCAUGACAAACGUGGAUCACUUUAUACAGUCAUCAACGGCUUUAAAGGUCUGCCCUUAUAAGGGGUUCCGGAGAGAUUUAGUAUCCGUUAUUGGAAAUUGUCUACACGGAAGGAAGCAAGUUCAGGUGGAGAUCAGACAGCAAAAUGCAAUUCCUUUGCUUUUGCAACAGUGUGUUGUUGAUGAAGACAACCCCUUUCUAAGAGAAUGGGGACUAUGGUCAAUGAGGAACUUGCUAGAGGGAAAUCCAGAAAACCAGCAUGAAGUAGCUCAACUGCAGCUGCAAGAGCCUGUCAAUACACCUGAAAUUGCUGGAAUAGGCCUAAGAGUCGAAAUAGAUGAGAAAACUGGACACCCGAAGCUGGUAAAUAUUGUAUGAGAGAAUGGAGUAUGAAGUUCUCAGACAAGUUUGUUCAGACUUGUCAGGUACAAAUCCAACAAAUCCAACAAAUCCAUACCUGGUGCCUGACAUGAUUAAAGGCAAUGUAUCACAUUUUUAAAUGUUUUUCUGUAUAACUCCAUCAUAUCUAUAAAAGGAAUUCUGCUUUUGUUACUUAUUUAACCCAUGUUCAUUUUAGAUGAUAGAUAGGCUUUCGAUAACAUGAACUAAUAUUUAUUAAGGACAACUUAUGUUUGGGUAAGUAUAUGUUCAUUUGUUGUUAAGUUGGUCACAUUAAUGCACUUUUCUAUACAACAUGAACAAUUAAUUUAAGAAAACUGGCUGAUAAUGUUCAAAAAUAUCUUUAGAGAUGACAUAUUUACUGGAUCUAAAAAUUAAAUUGGUUUUAUUAAUUGGUUAAGGUUGUAAUGUUGCAAUCCACAUGCAUUAUGUAUUCAGAUUGUAAAAAGUCCGAAGUCCGUAGAAGUACUUACAUCUAGUAGGUCUUUCCUCCUAAAACUUUAAAUGACUGCAUGCCUAAAUUAAAAUUAAGCAUAAAGGUUUCCUUAACCUAUAAAAGGGUUGUGCCUUAGUUAUCUCAUUACCUUUUAAAUUAAGUUAGCUGUUGAUUGCAACUCUAUGUUGAAAUAGCUCAAUGAUAUAUUUAGCUUCAAAACCAGCUUUGAACAUGAACCCAACAUUUUAGCUGGUAUUACAAUGCAAAAGUAUACUUUGGCAAGAGAGGGAAUUCCCAUAAAGUAAGAACUCGUGUUUAUAGGUAGAAAUAUAACUGUUGCUGUUAAAUUUAACCAUGAACUAAGUAAUGACAAUGCUUUCCUGGAGGUAGUUUAGACGAAGGGGAAGAAUCAAGCUUGAGAUUUGUAAUGCUGAGGCAUUUCAUGAUCAAAGCUCAUAUGUUUAUAGUAAUCUUGUAUAAGUACUUUGAACAGCACAAGUUCUGAAUACAUUGUUGCCCUGCCACGUACAAUGUGUAACCAUUCUAACAAAAAUGAAGGUUCCCACCAAAAAUUUUAGUUCUGCAUGAUACUAUUAGGAUCUUGAUGUUAAGUAAAUUUCUUGAUUGCUGUACACCCUGGUGGUUCUGUUCUGUUAACACUGUAUGCUAGUAUUGUAAUAAUCAGGAGAAUUGUUCGAAAUUGUUUCACACAAACAUUGACUUGAUAUACAUUCAGCAUUGCAUUCUUGAUAAUUAGCAGAGUUUUGGCUUGUGUUCCUUUUAAAGUAUUUCUAUAUUCCAGAAAUAUUGGCUGGUUAUCUUUUCUGCAUGCUGCCGCUGCGGUUCCAGUAACUGUUUUCUGUGUAGGCUUAUUACAGCCAAUAGAAGUAAUCAUGUUGAACUCUGUUAGUACUUUAAUAAUCUGGCUGACAUUUCUUCCUUUCCAACCAAACAUUUCUUACCUUAUGAAUUAUGAUAGUUCAAAAUUAUGCCCAUGAGUUCAUGUGACAUAUUUCAAGUGUUGAAGCUUUCUUUCAGUCAACUAUUGAGAAAAAUACGAGUAAAAAAGUUGUUGUUCUGUAGAUUAAUACUAAUUGUACAAUUAUCUUCGUAAUUGUAAGCAAAAAAAGCUGAUCUGUAAGGAACUCUCCUUAUGUAGGGAUUAUCUUUCUGGCAUAACUUUUUAACUACUGUCUUUCUGGUUUAUACUUUUUGAAUUUAAGCUGCAAUCCUUUUUUCCAUUUGCACCUCACAUUUAGGAGAUGUAACUUAACCAGUCAUUUCCACUUUCUGGGGCAUAUCUGCUUAACAGCUGGUUAAUUACCGUUGUUCUCUAUACUUGCUCACUCCUGGUAUUGGAGUCUGACCACAAAACAGCUUCAUAACAAGUUAUAGGAACUUUACCAUGACUCCUAGCACUAUAGUGUGUGCAGGAACCAGCAAAUGCAACUUGCAUACGCCAAAGUCCAUGAUUCCAACUUAAUUGCUGUAACUUGUAUGUUAUCCUUGGUUUACAUAUUUUAACCCUGGUGGAAGUCCUACUUUUUGCUUACUCUGAUUGUGUUUGAACUUCUUGCAUUGAUCUUCUCUUGCAGGCAAAACUCCUUUGACUAUAAACAUUGAUAUUAUUACUUUUGUCAUUCAAGUUGCUGUAUCAGUCACCAAGCUUGACAGAUCAAGCAUGAGAAUGCACAGCUGGUCAGCUACAGUUAACAGUCAGUCACAAAGAAGAAUGACUGAGAGUUGUCGAGGACAUCAUGAUAAUCAUCUGUUAGCAAACUCAAUAACAGAAGGAUCUUGUACCAAAUUCAAUGAAGCUGGAUCCAGUAGAGCUGACUGUCAACUCAAUGUCACCCCACUGUUUAUAAUUGGAUCUUGUAACGUUGGUGCGAACCUUGAUCGAGUGCAACAAGCUGUUGUGGCAUCAGAUAUGAACUCCAUCCAGCAACAAGAGUGCCCCUUACUAAUGGACGUGUGAAGAAGUUAAUCGGUGCUUCGGUAAGGUGAAGCCCAAGUGAGUCCUAACCUCCCUUUUCUUGUUAAUAGGGGUUGCUUAAUUGCGUGCAAAUAAAUCGCUUAUAAAUUUAUUUGUAGUAGGUAAUCUAUUUGCAGACAUUAUCUACAAGUAGAUUGCCUGUGGGCAGAAUGUAUAAAGUGGUCUGCACUGCCCUGUUCCUGCAAAGAGGAGGUUCAUUGCCUCCAACAUUAGCAGGUAUUAAAUGAAAUAAAGCAUGUUUUUGUUUUCCCAAA